AGUGAACGCUGGCGGUAGGCCUAACACAUGCAAGUCGAACGGCAGCACAGUAAGAGCUUGCUCUUACGGGUGGCGAGUGGCGGACGGGUGAGGAAUACAUCGGAAUCUACUUUUUCGUGGGGGAUAACGUAGGGAAACUUACGCUAAUACCGCAUACGACCUACGGGUGAAAGCAGGGGAUCUUCGGACCUUGCGCGAUUGAAUGAGCCGAUGUCGGAUUAGCUAGUUGGCGGGGUAAAGGCCCACCAAGGCGACGAUCCGUAGCUGGUCUGAGAGGAUGAUCAGCCACACUGGAACUGAGACACGGUCCAGACUCCUACGGGAGGCAGCAGUGGGGAAUAUUGGACAAUGGGCGCAAGCCUGAUCCAGCCAUACCGCGUGGGUGAAGAAGGCCUUCGGGUUGUAAAGCCCUUUUGUUGGGGAGGAAAAGCAGCAGGUUAAUACCCCGCUGUUCUGACGGUACCCAAAGAAUAAGCACCGGCUAACUUCGUG
RNAcentral lists this ribosomal RNA (492 nucleotides) under uncultured bacterium. Its description in RNAcentral is "partial 16S ribosomal RNA". It matches the Rfam family "Bacterial small subunit ribosomal RNA", at positions 29 to 507 of the family's 1533-position model. The record is from RNAcentral.